AAACAGACAAACCCUAGGUUUUCGUGUCCAAGUUUGACCGUUCGUCUUAUUUGAAAAAAUUAUAAAAAAAUUAAAAAGACAAGUCACGUAUAAAGUAUUAAUCAUGUUUAUUAUCUAACAACAAUAAAAAUAGAAAUUAUAAAAAAAAUUCUUAUAAUACGGACAGUCAAAGGUUGGACACGGAAACCCAGGGUUUGUCUUUUU
Molecule: microRNA precursor, 204 nt
Organism: Oryza sativa Indica Group (long-grained rice)
Lineage: Eukaryota; Viridiplantae; Streptophyta; Magnoliopsida; Poales; Poaceae
Rfam family: MIR812 microRNA precursor family
Source: Rfam